This 143-nucleotide small RNA is filed under the name Salmonella enterica. The record is from RNAcentral. Lineage: Bacteria; Pseudomonadati; Pseudomonadota; Gammaproteobacteria; Enterobacterales; Enterobacteriaceae.
AAUAAAAAGAGACCGAAUACGAUUCCUGUAUUCGGUCCAGGGAAAUGGCUCUUGGGAGAGAGCCGUGCGCUAAAAGUUGGCAUUAAUGCAGGCUAAAUCGCCUUGCCCUUUAAGAAUAGAUGACGACGCCAGGUUUUCCAGUU